GCAUUCUAGCUGUUAACAUCGUUAACUUCAAUGACCAAAACUUUUCAAGUCCUUAUACUCCUUAUAAAUUUGGAAUUUAAUCCAUGUUCUUUUAUUUCUAUGAAUUUAACCCCUAUAUUUUUUAGAUUUUAAAAUUCAGGUCCAAUUGUUAAUUAUGUUAAUUUUUUUGUUAAAUCCAAGUUCAUUCAUUUUUAGCUUAUUAUAUAAGAAAACCGC
This 216-nucleotide long non-coding RNA is filed under the name Gossypium raimondii (Peruvian cotton). RNAcentral's name for it is "long non-coding RNA (GRAI_LNC006263)". The record is from RNAcentral. Lineage: Eukaryota; Viridiplantae; Streptophyta; Magnoliopsida; Malvales; Malvaceae.